Hemiscyllium ocellatum (epaulette shark) is the source of this 4118-nucleotide RNA transcript. It is a transcript of the gene named zinc finger protein 229-like, with no coding region annotated. The transcript has 8 exons. Lineage: Eukaryota; Metazoa; Chordata; Chondrichthyes; Orectolobiformes; Hemiscylliidae. The record is from RefSeq and is a predicted model, not a curated record.
CAAACCCCCGACACCUCCACCAUGCUUUCUUUAGAGAAGCCAAGGCUGAGCGGGGAAGCGAUUGAAGGAUUUUAGAACAAGACAGGAAUGCUACUCGUGAAAGGAUUGGUUUUCAGCCAGCGGGUGGCGAAUAUCUGACAUCCCUAUCCCGAGGAUGUGGUGCGGGUCGGUUCAAUCGAAUCCUUCAAGGUUGAUUUUGACUUUUAUUUGAAAACUAACGAUGCGCAGAAUGAAGGAGAGAAAGCAGGGGAACGGCUCUGGAGAUGUGGCGGUCAUUGGAAGAGCCAGUGCAGUACCAAAGGGCCGGACGGUCUCAUUCCGCACUGUAACAAUUCCGUGACCUUCAGCAGGAAGUCACAAAACUGGAUGUUCCCGGCAGCACAGCACCAGCAACAUUGAAACAGAUAAACGGUUUCAAACAGAAGUGUCGAGUGUGUAAACAUGGCUUCCAGACAGCAGGCCGAGAGUAGGACUGAAAAACACAUUUGUCCCAUUUGUCUGGAUUUCUUUCCCAAUCUCGUUCCACUGGAGUGUGGACACUACUCCUGCCGCACCUGUAUCACCCAGAGUUGGGAAAACUCCUGCCCGGAAUGUCGAGAGGUAGGAAACCUCGGGGUAAACCGCACCUUGACGAAUCCGGCCCGGGACGGUCGAAAGUUAAAGCUGGAUCCGAAAAAGAGGGCAAAUAGACUUCACUGUGAGGAACAUCAGGAAGAGCUGAAACUGUUUUGUGAAACUGACAAGAAAUUGAUCUGUCUGAUUUGUCGGGAUUCGCGGGAACACAAAUCUCACAACUUCAUGCCGGUCAAUGAAGCUGUUGAAAUCUACCAGGAUCAGUUGAAAUCUUCCCUAAGUUCUCUCACAGAGAAGAAAUCGGCAGUUCGAGAAAAGGAACUGACCCAGAAACGGAAGAUUUCCGAAGUGAGGGAACAGGCGAGCAGACUGCAGACCCACAUCACAUCCGAGUUCACGAAAAUGCACCAGAUUCUCACUGAGAAAGAGCAGCGUUUACUCAGAGAUCUCAGGGAAGAAGUGGACAGGAUUCUGGAACCAAUGGAGAGAAACCGUCAAGAGAUUCAGGACCAUUUAAGUUCUAUUGAGAAGGACAUUUCAAAACUGCAGAAAGAAAUAAGGCAAAAAGACGAGGUGGCAUUUCUGAUGGAGGAAGCUAACCAGAAGAUAAGGCUUGAUGAAGAACAACGAAUAAUGAAAAUAGAGGAUGGCAUAUUGUUGACAGGACAGUUCAAAGGGCCUGUGCAGUACAUAGCGUGGAGAGAAAUGAUAAACGUCAUCAAUCCAGCUCCAGCCUCUCUGACUCUGGAUCCGAACACAGCGCAUCCCCAGCUCAUCCUGUCUGAGGACCGGACCAGUGUGAAACAUGGAGACAAAUGGCAGCUGCUGCCUGACUCCUCGGAGAGAUUUGAUCCUUGCCCCUUUGUACUGGGAUCAGAGGGAUUCAAAUCAGGGAGACAUUACUGGGAGGUGGAGGUCGCGAACAAGACCGAGUGGAGAGUGGGAGUCGCCCGAGAGUCUGUGGACAGGAAAGGGGACAUAGACCCAAAACCUGACACCGGAUACUGGAUUUUGAGGCUGGUUGCUGGAAGUGUUUAUUUUGCAGCCACAUCUCCUUCACGGACCCCCGUCUCCCUAAAUGAGAAUCCCCGGAAGAUCGGGGUUUUCCUGGACUAUGAGGAUGGACAGGUAUCAUUUUACAAUGCGGACACCAUGUCCCACCUCUACACUUUCACUCACACUUUCACUGAGAGGCUCUUUCCCUUCUUCCACCCAGGAGGGAAUGACGAUGGGGAAAACUCCGCCCCGCUGACAAUCUCCGGGAUUAAAGGGCAUUGACAGAUCCAUCCCAUCCCCCUGCCUCCUGCCAGCUGUAAACUGAUGGGGGUCGGUCUCUGGUGGAGAGAGAGAAACCAGGUCAACAUUUUGGGAAGAAACCCUGCAUCAAAACUGGGAACCGAAAGAUCAGCAAAAAGCUCUGUAGGGUCGGGGAAAGAAGGAGGGAGAGAGAAGAAACAGAUAGAAGAUCAGUCGUACAGAGAGAAUUAGGAGUCAGAAGUCACUGUGAGCUCCGGGGACCUUCCUGCGUGUAAUAUUGUUCCAGACGGUGGCGCUACACGAUGGUGUUUGAGAUGAAUCGAUGCACUCCGAUGUCCAGCGAUACAUGAAUUCGAAACAGCAAAGGCAGUAACUGUGCAGGACAUUACAAGAGGGGAAUUGUCAGACCAUAAGAAAACUUGAUAGAUAACCAGUUCAGCAACAUUGGUCUUCAAACAUGGAAACAAAAAGCACCAUGCUCAGCAGGGAGCAGCUGUCCACGUAUUUUGUUGAUGGUUGAGGGCUAACCUGUUAAUACACAGCUACAAUCACAUCAGUGAGAAACUGUGUAAAUGGCGGGUGGGUGUGUGAUAAAUCAGUUCAUUACCUGAUUGCGCUGGGAGUUCAUUCAUAGUGGUGAGAUGAUGUUCACUUGCCCUGUUUGUGGAAAGGAAUUCACUGAUUCGUCCCACCUACUGAGACACCAGCGAGUGCACACUGGGGAAAGACCAUUCACCUGCUCCGUUUGUUGGAAGGGAUUCACUCAGUCAUCCCAUCUCCUGAGACACCAGCAUGUUCACACUGACAAAAGACCUUUUAACUGUCCUGAUUGUGAGAAGCCAUUUAAAAGUAAACAGGAUCUGCUGAGACAUCAACAUACUCAUACUGGUGAGAGGCCAUUCACCUGCUUAAACUGUGGGAAGGGAUUCACUAAUUCAUCCAACCUGCUGAAGCACCAACGAGUUCACACUGAUGAACGACCUUUUAAAUGCUCAGACUGUGGGAAGUGUUAUAAAAGCUCAGAGGAACUGACAUGCCAUCAACGUGUUCAUACUGAUAAAAGACCAUUCAGAUGCUCUGACUGUGGGGCUGGGUUCACCCGAUCAUCUCAACUUACUAUACAUCAACGCCGUCACACUGGAGAGAGACCAUAUAUGUGCUCCAUAUGCGGGAAGGGAUUCACUUGCUCAUCCCAUCUUACGACACACCAACGUAUUCACACCAAUAAGAGACCUUUCAAAUGUUCUGACUGUGAAGAGAGGUUUAAAAGCAGAAAUGAGCUGCUGACACACCAGCAUAAUCACACCGGUGAGAGACCAUUCACCUGUUCUGAUUGCGGCAAGGGAUUCUGUCGAUCAUCUCAUCUCCUGAUACACCAGCGAGUUCACAAUGGGGAGAGACCAUUCAUCUGCCCUGUGUGUGGCAAGAGAUUCACACAAUCAUCCAUCCUCCUGACACACCAGCGAAUUCACACUGGGGAGAGACCUUUCAUUUGCCCCAUGUGUGGGAAGAGAUUCACCCAGUCAUCCCACCUAUUGACACACCAGCUUGUUCACAAUGACAAGAGACCUUUUACAUGCUCUGACUGUGAGAGGAAAUUUAAAACGAAAAGAGACCUGCUGAUGCACCAGCGAGGUCACACUGGGGAGAGGCCAUUCACCUGCUCCACAUGUGGAAAGGGAUUCACCCAUUCAUCUCACCUGCUGACACACCAACGCACUCACACUGGGGAGAGGCCAUUCACGUGUUCUGUGUGUGACAAGGGAUUCACUUGUACGUCCCACUUACUGAGACAUCAAAGGGUUCACACCGGGGAGAGGCCAUUCACCUGCUCUCUGUGUAAGAAAGGAUUUACUCAAUCAUCCCACCUAAUAACACACCAGAGAGUUCAUAUGCAACAGCAGGGAUUGGAUUCUGCUGAUAAUGCUGUGAUUAAUAUCAAUCAGGACUGAAUCAUGUUCAUUCUGAAAUUUUGCAUUUAUUUCUGAGGAUGUUAGUAACCCCUCUAACACCAGUUGGAGUUAAUAUACUUUAUAAAUGUGAAAUAAAUCACCAGAGUUAAAAAAAUUCUUGUAGAUUGUUAUCCAUCCAUCCAAGUAUUUGGCAUCAGCUGGUUGGAACUCUGAAUGGUCAUCCUGGAAGAAAGUCAUAACAUCUAAAUAGAAAACCAACCGUGGACACUAUCCAGCAAAUUAAUUACCAUCCACAGCUUGUCCCUGUUAGAUAAAUUCAAGGAUUGCAUUCAUCCUAUAUUUACCUGAUCUUUACAUUUUGUGCAGUUCACACUG